This 897-nucleotide ribosomal RNA is filed under the name Triticum aestivum (bread wheat). RNAcentral describes it as "partial small subunit ribosomal RNA". The record is from RNAcentral. Lineage: Eukaryota; Viridiplantae; Streptophyta; Magnoliopsida; Poales; Poaceae.
AUGGAGGGGGAGCUCGGGUACCUGUCGCCUGCGGGUUCGUCCUGCGUCUCCACCGAGCGCUUCGGCUGGUCGCCGCGGGAGAAGCUGCUCGACUCCACUCCCUCGUCGCGCGUAUCCGACGGCCGCGGCAAGGGAGGCCUGCUCCGUUCGCCCACAUGGGGGCCAUCACCGACGGAGACGCAGCUCCACUCGCCCUCAUCGUGCGUCUCCGACGACCGCUACAUCUCGCCGCUUCGCAUGUCGGCGGAGCAAGCGAGCGAGGUGCACGAGGCGGAGAGGCUCCUCCGCGCGAUCGCCGACCGCUACGACGACUGCUUCCUGCGCCUGCGCGACGCCACGGCCGAGGUCGCUGACCUCCGCCUCGAGCGCCUCCGCCUCAGAGCGGAGAGCAUGCACCUGUCUCUCCUCCUCGAGGAGCUCGAGGCCGAUCAGGGGAAGCGGGCGAUCGCGCCGGCUCCGACACCACCGCCGAAGCCGACUGAGGAGGUAGCAGCACGCGGGGGCGCGCCGAAGAGCAUCUCCAUCCGUUCCAAGUGCUACCUCUCGCAGGCGAAGCAGCCGCGGGGCGAGGCAGAGGCGCAGCGCCUCCGUGUUCGUCCGCCUCCUGCGAUCGAGGCAGGGGAGGACGAGGCGAAGGGGGAUGGAGAAGUGGUCGAGCUGGAGGCGUACAGGCAGGGCACCCAGAAGACGGAGCUGUGCAACAAGUGGGAGGGCGGCGCCUGCUCCUACGGCGGCCGGUGCCGGUUCGCGCACGGCCUGCAGGAGAUGCGCCCCGUCAUCCGCCACCCGCGCUACAAGACCCUCCCCUGCCAGAUGUUCGCUGCCGCCUCUGGCUGCCCCUACGGCCACCGCUGCCACUUCCGUCACUCGCCAGCGCCCACCGCCCAGUCCUACUAG